This 551-nucleotide ribosomal RNA is filed under the name uncultured Rubrobacteria bacterium. RNAcentral's name for it is "bacterial SSU rRNA". It matches the Rfam family "Bacterial small subunit ribosomal RNA", at positions 355 to 897 of the family's 1533-position model. The record is from RNAcentral. Lineage: Bacteria; Bacillati; Actinomycetota; Rubrobacteria.
UGGGGAAUCUUGCGCUAAUGCGGGAAACCGUGACGCAGCGACGCCGCGUGGGGGAAGAAGGCCUUCGGGUUGUAAACCCCUUUCAGGAGGGACGAAGCUACUCGGGUUAAUAGCCCAGAGGGUGACGGUACCUCCAGAAGAAGCCCCGGCUAACUACGUGCCAGCAGCCGCGGUAAUACGUAGGGGGCAAGCGUUGUCCGGAUUUAUUGGGCGUAAAGAGCGUGUAGGCGGCUUGGUAGGUCCGCUGUGAAAACUCGAGGCUUAACCUCGAGAUGUCGGCGGAAACCACUUGGCUAGAGUCCGGAAGAGGAGAGUGGAAUUCCCGGUGUAGCGGUGAAAUGCGCAGAUAUCGGGAAGAACACCUAUGGCGAAGGCAGCUCUCUGGGACGGUACUGACGCUGAGACGCGAAAGCGUGGGGAGCGAACAGGAUUAGAUACCCUGGUAGUCCACGCCGUAAACGAUGGGUGCUAGGUGUGGGCGGUGUCGACUCCGUCCGUGCCGAAGCUAACGCAUUAAGCACCCCGCCUGGGGAGUACGGCCGCAAGGCUAA